UCCGAUGCGAUGGCCAUGUCAGUCGGUCCAUCACCGGAGACCGGGACGUUCGUCGUUCCUCGUCGACGCUGCCGUGCACCGGCCGCGGAGGAGUGGCCGUCGUCAGGGACGACGACAAACCUACACAGAGGGGUGCCAGGCGCUGCCACGCCAGCCGGUGGGCGCGAGGCGGCGGUGCGGCGAGGAAAUGCGUGGUUGGAGUCAUGGAGUUGGAGAUGGCCCUCGUCAUCGUCCGGCCGCGUGCCGGGUCGCUUCGUUUGUCUGCGGCAUUUCCGACGCCACCUCCACUCGUCCCGUCCAGUGGAAGCCUCGGCUGGGCUGCCUCGCCAGGUGAGCUCUCGCUCGCCUGCCCUGCCCACCAGGUGCUUGUGUUUAUUCCCGCCCGCCUCCUAGCUUGAGCAUUGAGCUAGUGACUACUCACGGACUCCUCAAAAAAUAAUGUUCCCAUAGGAUUGAUGCACCGGCUGGUUGCCCAUCAUCUACCAGAAUUACAUGGUUGGUUCUUGGACAUGUCAAAGGUUGGUGGAGGGAACACAUAGUAGAUGCUGUUAGUUAUAGGAUGUUCAACGAUCACAGGGGCCAAUGGACUAUUCAGCAUAAAGGAUGCGACCACGACCUGGAAACAUGCCGUUGACCAGAGUAUCCUUCUAUGGCACAUCGCAGCAGACCUAUGUUUUUACCAAAAGGGCAUCCCAUCAGUUAGUUAUGAAAUAGCCACAGGAUGCAGAUACAUCUACUGUUCACCAAUCUUGAUAUUCUAUUGUCUGGCACUAGACGAAAUCUGUUCCUAAUCGCUAAUCCCAUACUAGAGAAAAUUCUCAAGGAUGAAAAACUAUUGCUCAAGAAAAUCAUUCAGGGCAAUAACCCAUCACUCAUGGAGAUCUUCAAGUGCAAUGAGCCAUUCCUCCAGUACCUCAAGGGGAAAAAAACACCAUCGCUACAGGAGAUCGAAAGAUGACUUACAGACAGAAUAAUCAGUAAGUUGCAGGUCACAUAAUACAGAGAAGCAGUUGAACACGCAUAAUCACCACUGUAUGGAGAUAUGCCUAGAAGAUUCCUGCAGUACCUCAAGUGCAAUGAGCCAUUCCUCCAGUACCUCAAAAAGGUUUUAUUAUCUAAGAUGCCUGGAAGAUUUGUAAAGCGUUGUUGGCUUUAGGUGAUGAGAAGAUGUCGGAGGUAAUUUAAGGUUGGUGGGUGGAGAUGCUCUGCUUUUCUGCCAGUAGGUGCCCAGGGUACCUACAUGCCAAGAGCAUGGGCUCUGCCAUGGAAUUACUCACUUAUGUCUGGUGUUCCUGCUGUCACGCAUGGGUAUGGAGAACUUGCCUGAGAGGCUGCUGAUGACAAAGCGUCCAAGCUGAGGGGGAAACACCAAGGUCGAUCCAGCGCAGCCACUAGGGAAGAAGCAUUGUUUAACCUAAGAUGCUUACGAAAACCAUUUGUACCCUGCAUUUCGAUAUUAGUUGCUUUUUUUUUUUGCUUUCCUGUGGAGUACUUGUCUUAGUUGUUCAUCGUGAGUACAUGUUAAACAUGGAAAAAUGGAACAAGAGGGGGCGAGCAGGGUUUUUAAUUUUUAGUUACAGAAGCUGUUUAUCGGCUCUCUGAUGUUCCUUCAGUUGAAUUAAGAGCCACAUAAUGUAUGUAUAGAUUUUGUAUUACAGCCUUAUCAGUCUACCUGAUCCAUGUCUGUAGGAGUUUUGAUUUCGUGUGAGAAGUUCAUUUGAAUAUUUCAUUACCAUGUUGAUAUAUUGUAUUCCAAUGCAAUGUCUGCAUUAACCAUCUAGUGUUUGAUUCUUUCAUUUUUUUAAAUUACGGAGUACUACAGUUUGAUGCUAUCAGUAUCUGUUGGUAUGCUGUUAGAACUUACCAGGCUCCCUCUCAUUUCUACAUUGAGCGUUUCUGUGGCACGGAUGGCCCAUGUUAAAUUCUAUGAUAAACGAUCCACGCAGUCUUCAGCUACAUAUCAGUUCUUGGCGACAACCCACAGAGCGUAUGCCACCUGUAAAAUUCGCCGAUCAGUUCCUUCAGUUGAGGAGGAAAAGAAUCAACAUGGACCAUUUCUGAGGGGUGCGAGCCAUCUCCGCGUCAGCGCGAGGCAGGAAUAAAUUCCAUGCGGUGGCGAAGGAGCGAUGGAUCACCUUGUCAGACAGCUGACUGUGUGGCACUAUGUUGGCCGAUAGUCGCUCCUCUGCGCCACCAGCUUUAAUGCGUGCCCCACUCCAGUUUGUUGGAAGCGAACCAUGGAUGAAUCCUCACUGGUUGGUACCGGUGGUAGGCCACCCAUCAAGUGCCCUCAGGCCUUAGGGAAAAGGAUCAACAUCGAGCAUCUCGGAGGUUGGCAGCAAGGAAGAAUGUUUGGCCGUUGCCAGCUGGAGAAUUUUCUUCUUCUUUUUCUUGUUACGCAACAGAAUGUUGCAGUCGGCGUGGCGCCUAAAGUUUCCUUCAGGGAGCAGACACGGUUCGGCCCACUGAAAGCAUGUGCUGGUUCUGUCCUCUGUAGUUACUUGUGUUCUGUUUCUUCUU
Long non-coding RNA from Lolium perenne, 2520 nucleotides. RefSeq lists it as uncharacterized. The record is from RefSeq and is a predicted model, not a curated record. NCBI's taxonomy places the organism in Eukaryota, Viridiplantae, Streptophyta, Magnoliopsida, Poales, Poaceae.